Long non-coding RNA from Papaver somniferum (opium poppy), 734 nucleotides. RefSeq lists it as uncharacterized. Lineage: Eukaryota; Viridiplantae; Streptophyta; Magnoliopsida; Ranunculales; Papaveraceae. The transcript has 3 exons. The record is from RefSeq and is a predicted model, not a curated record.
GAACCCAGUUCUGUCUUUCCUUAAUUACUCAUAGCUGCAUCAAUUCCCUUUGUAAUUCUGCAAGAAUCAAUUGAAGAAUAUGUAAGUGGAAAAUCCAUUUGUUGGAUUGAAAAUAACUACAUACAUGAAAUUCAAAGUAAGCAGCCUGCAGAUCGUUCUUCUUCAUAUAUCAAAUUCAUGAAGAUCAAAAUUAAGCGUUAGGAGACGAGGAUAACAAAAUGUGAGAUAUGAUGAACUCCUUCAAAUUUGAAGCUCUUGUCAGGUCAUGUACAUAGCCUUCUUGAGUUCCUGUGACGCAAAGGAAGUAGUUUAUAUUACCUGGAUAAGUGUUACUUCAAGGUCCAAGAGGCAAUCCAACAUGAGGUCCAUUACCAGCUCCGUCUCCACUUUGUGCAGCAAGCCGCAUGUCCUCAAGUUGAGCUUCUAUCCUCACCAUCAUCCAAAAUGACCUCCGGACUAUUUCAAUUGUAGACAUGAGAAGGGCAAUCCAGGUAUUGGUGAAUAAAAUUGUUGACAAUCUCAGCGUCCAACUUCCACGCAUGAAGAAGUCGGCAACUACUAUUACAUACCAUGCCUACAGUAUUUCAAUUGUAAAGUUAAAUGAAUUAAAGCUAAAAUGAAUUAUUUUUCGGUUUAUUCAAGUCAACUAUGUGUAAUUUCGGAUUCUGACCCAUCGUUGUUCUUCAGUGAAAAUUCUAGACCGCGGAACCGGUCUGUCUGGAAUCCGUCUGAAA